ACUCACUUUAUCUCACUGAUGAUGGGCGCUAACUAACCGUUGACCUUACCUGCGCAAGGACCGGGAAGUUUAUGACAGCGGCUGUUUACCAACUUUAGGAAUUUCCAGCAGCUCAUAUCACACGGUGGCAGUGGAUGAUGAUUGUGGCCUGGAGUUUAAUGAUGAAACACUCCUGUACCAACUGUUUGAUUUUAAACUGCCAGCUGACUGCCUUGCCAAGCCACUAAACGAAGACGUACGUCUGUAUGUGCCGUUCCGAAAACAUGCACAUUGGACAUUGUCUUAAAGUUGGAGAAACUCUGCAUUCAGAAGAAGGAUUAAUGUACGCGACUGACAGCAAAGACAAAUCCUGAUAACCCAUGGUGAAGCUUUUCCUCAAAGUGCUGAAGGAAGAAACGGGACUGAGCGAACGACUCGGCUGCCUCGUUGCUUCUCUUGGACAGGUACAAAAGGCACACAAAGAGCCUGUUUGCGUUAAGACCCGAGAGGGCUCUCGGUGUCCCCCGACCACCCCGUCCUCCAUCACUGUCCCGCCAUGUCAGCGCAGCUCGCAGUGAAAAGGAGAAACUUUCCCAGCCAGUGCAAGUUCAGCCAACAGUUGGAGUGAUCCUGAGGCUGUCGGAUGUACUUUUAUUUUUGUUUUUUUGUUUUUUUGUUUUUUUUCCCUCAU
Molecule: long non-coding RNA, 670 nt
Organism: Myripristis murdjan (pinecone soldierfish)
Lineage: Eukaryota; Metazoa; Chordata; Actinopteri; Holocentriformes; Holocentridae
Exons: 5
Source: RefSeq, a predicted model, not a curated record